CGGAACGUCGCGAUGGACUAAACACCGCGCGACGCGAAAGCCACGAGCAAGCUGUACUUUCGAUUUUGAGCUCCCUCCUUCGACAUCUACCUUCUUUGUCCUCCCAAUGGAAAUUGAAGGCGAAUCGGUAUAUCAUGCUGUUAACAAUACGCGAUACCAGCAAUUGUCCAAAAGGAUCUCAAGAUUAUAGGCGAUGACAAAUCAUUUUGGCAAAGGUCUGUAACAAUAUGAGACAAAUAAGACGAAUAUCUAGCAUACAUUAAAUAUGACAAUUUAUUAAGAAUAAUAUAUUCUGCAUACGAUUGGCAUGAAAAUUUGUAUUAAAUUAAUUAAAUAAAUAUAAAAGUCGCACGCACAGAUUUUUAAUCAUUAGCGAGCCAACAAUUGUUACUAGGAGAGCAUUUUAUUAUAAUACGGGAUGAUCAAUAAAUCGUUGGCGACUCGUGACAAUUAAUGUCUCAAUCGCUAAUUUUUAUUAUGAACUGUAUUGUAGUCAAUGCGCACAAUAUUAUAAUCAAAAAUAUAGAAACACGUAUUUAUAUAUAUAUAUAUAUAUAUAUACAUUUAUUCAAGACUAUUUUUCUCUCUCUCUCGAAGACUAUAUCAAAAUAUUUAUUUUAUAUUUCCGUUAUUUAUUUGUUUGUUUUUUAUUCCCCCGGGAGAUAGCUCUCUCACCACGAUUUAUCGGACAUCCUGUGUCUUCUUUUUGUUCGUUUAUUUUUCACCAGUAUAAAGUUGAAUCUUGUAGUGAUGCUUGCGAUGUAAAGUUGCUUAGGAAAAAUAUAUAUCUAUGUUGUUCUUUUUCCUUCUUUCGGCGAUUGUAGAUUCGCUCUCGCGCAUAGAGAACAUUAAAAAAUUAAAUAUUUAUUAAUAAAAAUUGCCAUAUUGAGUACAAUCAGUCUAAAGUUUUAUUAACUUGCGAAAAGUGGCGUAUAGAUAGAUUUUGACGGAUAGAUUUUGAUUGUAAAAGAAUUGUUUUACUAAUUAUAAUAUCUUUUUAGUGUAUAAUUGUUUUUUUUUAGCCGAAUUGCUUGCACUUUUAGUUUUUUCUCUCUUCAGCUUCUAAAUAUAUAUACAUCUUCUUCAAUUUUGUUUCGUUUCAGUUCAGCUAAAAAGGGAGAGAACAAAUCUGUAAUAGAUAUAUUAUUUAACAUAAACAA
Molecule: long non-coding RNA, 1160 nt
Organism: Cataglyphis hispanica
Lineage: Eukaryota; Metazoa; Arthropoda; Insecta; Hymenoptera; Formicidae
Exons: 2
Source: RefSeq, a predicted model, not a curated record